AUGAACGCUGGCGGCGUGCCUAAUACAUGCAAGUCGAGCGAACAGACGAGGAGCUUACUCCUCUGACGUUAGCGGCGGACGGGUGAGUAACACGUGGAUAACCUACCUAUAAGACUGGGAUAACUUCGGGAAACCGGAGCUAAUACCGGAUAACAUGUUGAACCGCAUGGUUCAACAGUGAAAGACGGUCUUGCUGUCACUUAUAGAUGGAUCCGCGUCGCAUUAGCUAGUUGGUAAGGUAACGGCUUACCAAGGCAACGAUGCGUAGCCGACCUGAGAGGGUGCUCGGCCACACUGGAACUGAGACACGGUCCAGACUCCUACGGGAGGCAGCAGUAGGGAAUCUUCCGCAAUGGGCGAAAGCCUGACGGAGCAACGCCGCGUGAGUGAAGAAGGUCUUCGGAUCGUAAAACUCUGUUAUUAGGGAAGAACAAAUGUGUAAGUAACUAUGCAUGUCUUGACGGUACCUAAUCAGAAAGCCACGGCUAACUACGUG
RNAcentral lists this ribosomal RNA (496 nucleotides) under uncultured bacterium. RNAcentral's name for it is "partial 16S ribosomal RNA". It matches the Rfam family "Bacterial small subunit ribosomal RNA", at positions 29 to 507 of the family's 1533-position model. The record is from RNAcentral.